AACAGGAUUAGAUACCCUGGUAGUCCACGCCGUAAACGAUGUCGACUUGGAGGUUGUUCCCUUGAGGAGUGGCUUCCGGAGCUAACGCGUUAAGUCGACCGCCUGGGGAGUACGGCCGCAAGGUUAAAACUCAAAUGAAUUGACGGGGGCCCGCACAAGCGGUGGAGCAUGUGGUUUAAUUCGAUGCAACGCGAAGAACCUUACCUACUCUUGACAUCCAGAGAACUUAGCAGAGAUGCUUUGGUGCCUUCGGGAACUCUGAGACAGGUGCUGCAUGGCUGUCGUCAGCUCGUGUUGUGAAAUGUUGGGUUAAGUCCCGCAACGAGCGCAACCCUUAUCCUUUGUUGCCAGCGAUUCGGUCGGGAACUCAAAGGAGACUGCCGGUGAUAAACCGGAGGAAGGUGGGGAUGACGUCAAGUCAUCAUGGCCCUUACGGCCAGGGCUACACACGUGCUACAAUGGCGCAUACAAAGAGAAGCGACCUCGCGAGAGCAAGCGGACCUCAUAAAGUGCGUCGUAGUCCGGAUUGGAGUCUGCAACUCGACUCCAUGAAGUCGGAAUCGCUAGUAAUCGUAGAUCAGAAUGCUACGGUGAAUACGUUCCCGGGCCUUGUACACACCGCCCGUCACACCAUGGGAGUGGGUUGCAAAAGAAGUAGGUAGCUUAACCUUCGGGAGGGCGCUUACCACUUUGUGAUUCAUGACUGGGGUGAAGUCGUAACAAGGUAACC
This 730-nucleotide ribosomal RNA is filed under the name uncultured bacterium. RNAcentral's name for it is "bacterial SSU rRNA". It matches the Rfam family "Bacterial small subunit ribosomal RNA", at positions 771 to 1501 of the family's 1533-position model. The record is from RNAcentral.